CCCGCCUGGGGACUACGAGCAUAAGCUUAAAACCCAAAGGACUUGGCGGUGCUUUAGACCCACCUAGAGGAGCCUGUUCUAUAACCGAUAACCCCCGUUAAACCUCACCUUCUUUUGUUAUUUCCGCCUAUAUACCGCCGUCGUCAGCUUACCCUGUGAAGGCCCUUCAGUAAGCAAAAUUGAAUUUUUCCAAAACGCCAGGUCGAGGUGUAGCAGAUGAGAAGGAAAGAAAUGGGCUACAUUUUCUAAAACAGAAAACACGGAUAUUACUAUGAAACAGUAUAUAGAAGGAGGAUUUAGCAGUAAGCAGAGAAUAGAGAGCUCU
This 325-nucleotide ribosomal RNA is filed under the name Aphyosemion gabunense (Gabon killifish). RNAcentral describes it as "partial 12S ribosomal RNA". It matches the Rfam family "Bacterial small subunit ribosomal RNA", at positions 868 to 1360 of the family's 1533-position model. Lineage: Eukaryota; Metazoa; Chordata; Actinopteri; Cyprinodontiformes; Nothobranchiidae. The record is from RNAcentral.